Molecule: transfer RNA, 97 nt
Filed under: Trametes cinnabarina
Lineage: Eukaryota; Fungi; Basidiomycota; Agaricomycetes; Polyporales; Polyporaceae
Description: Pycnoporus cinnabarinus tRNA
Rfam family: tRNA
About the family: Transfer RNA (tRNA) molecules are approximately 80 nucleotides in length. Their secondary structure includes four short double-helical elements and three loops (D, anti-codon, and T loops). Further hydrogen bonds mediate the characteristic L-shaped molecular structure. tRNAs have two regions of fundamental functional importance: the anti-codon, which is responsible for specific mRNA codon recognition, and the 3' end, to which the tRNAs corresponding amino acid is attached (by aminoacyl-tRNA synthetases). tRNAs cope with the degeneracy of the genetic code in two manners: having more than one tRNA (with a specific anti-codon) for a particular amino acid; and 'wobble' base-pairing, i.e. permitting non-standard base-pairing at the 3rd anti-codon position.
Source: Rfam by way of RNAcentral
GCCCCCGUUGUCUAAUGGUUAGGACGUCAGACUUCUACCGUGCAGUUAUUACGUGACCGGGAUCUGAAGGUUGCGGGUUCGAGUCCCGCCGGGGGUA